AAAUUAUAUCUUAUAAGAUUGUGAAGAUUAAAAAUUUUGAUGUAAAAAGCCUAACAUUGUGCCUGAUAGGCAUUCAAUAAAUGUCACAUCUAUUAACACACAUAGGCAUGUACCUGCACUUACCACACACUCACACCAAGGUGGCAGUCAGUAAUGAGAAGACAUAGUCAAAUCCUACCUUAGCGAAAUCUUUUUGCCUCUUUCUCUCUGCUCUGCUUCUAUUUUAUAUCUCUUGGAACAUUCAUCUCUACACCCUCCUGCUGUCUCAGUUUGUUCUCUUGAUGGUAACCUCACAGAGGUUACCAGCUGACGUCACCGAGAAGAAAUGUACGCAAGGCGACCCCUCCCUGAGCAGAGCUCAUGAUUCAGUAGGGAACACAGCAGGGAAAACAAGUCACAGUGCAAUAUAAUUGCUUUACUAGAUGUAAGGACAGGAGGCAGUCCACCGGAUACAGGCUCCUCAACUCGGGAGCCAUAAAUCAUAUCAGGUGCUGAAAAUUCAGAGGUGAAGAAAAACAGUUCUUGCUCUUGAUGUGUUCAAUAGCAAGGAAGAUUUCUAAUAUCUUAAAUAAGAGGCAAGUGAUUUUACCAAGGAGACAAGUCAUGCCGAGUAUUGUAAAAUAGACCAAGAAACUUGCCUGUGAUGUCAGAAAACUUGCGGGUUUCUGUACAACUAGUUUGGGGAAGGAGGAUCUCUGGAGGUUUCUGAAAGGCAUGGGAAUAAGAUUUCGGAAGAAACUUGUGAAAAGGAAGAGCAUCCCAAGCUUAGGAGUCCCUCCAACACAGGCCAUCUGUCCCUUAUUCCCUAGAGUUAAAAGCAACCUACGUCAGAUUGAAAUGGAUAAAAAGAUAAAUCACCACCUCUCUGCUGAACACAGAAAGCUAAAAAGGAGAAAGAAAUUGCAUUUGCCUUUGCACUCAAUAUAUCAAAGUAAUUUAUGUCAAAACCACUAUGCCUGCUUUCAUACAUACUCGAUUUUAAAUAAAAUCAAUCUCCAAACCUGUAAUCGCUUUCUUUGUAAGUCUCCAAAAAAGUGUUGCUAAAAUCUGAUACCAUUAGAGGCACAGUUGGUUUAUUGCCUUACAAAAUCAUUCAUCCUAAUGAGACGUAAGGUUAAGAGACAUUCCUACGAACACAUUAAAUGGUUAAUGACCAUGUAAAAGCUGGUUCAAGCUCACAUUAAAACCAGGCGGUGGGGAGGCCAAGGUGGGCAGAUCGCCUAGGUUAGGAGUUUGAGACUAGCCUGGCAAACAUGGUGAAACCCCGUCUCUACUAAAAAUAUGAAAAUUAGCCAGAUGUGGUGGUGGGUGCCUGUCAUCCCAGCUACUCAGGAGGCUGAGGUAGGAAAAACGCUUGAACCUUGGAGGUGGAGGUUGCACUGAGCCCAGAUUGUGCCACUGCACUCUAGCCUGGGCAACAAGAGCAAAACUCUGUCUCAAAAAAAGAAAAAGGCAGGGAAGGGUUAAUUGUGCAGACUUUUAAGACAGUAGGAGGAGGGGAGCCCCAGAAGGAGAUGGGGUUGGAGCCAACUCUAGCACAGUGGGAGCAACUGCUGAGAGCAGGAAGGAUUUCCCUUAUGCUGAGAGUAUCAUGAGAACCAGUGGGGGUUCAACUCUACCUCCUUCUGGGGCCUCCAUAAGGGAGAAAGAAGGGCAGCCACCAUUUCUGAAUAUUGACUAUAAUAGUGACACGCACUUGUAUAGUAGUUCCUCUCUUCCUGACACUGUUCUCUAUCCGUAAGGACCCUAUGAAGUUAGUGCUGUAAUUUCCCCCAAUUUACAGAACAGGGGACUGAGACAUCAAGAGCUUAAGUAAUUGCCCAGGGUCCACACGCAGCUGUUAGACAGCACAUCUGGAACUCAGUCCCAGAUCAUCUAGUGAAGCAUUACCCAUGCUUAGCCACUCUACUCUCCUGCCUCCUUUUUUUUUUUUUUUUUUUUUUUUUUUUUUUUUUUUUUUUUUGAGAUGGAGUUUCACUUGUUACCCAGGCUAGAAUGCAAUGGAGUAAUCUCGGCUCACCGCAACCUCCCCCUCCUGGGUUCAGGCAAUUCUCCUGCCUCAGCCUCCUGAGUAGCUGGGAUUACAGGCAUGCGCCACCAUGCCUGGCUAAUUUUUGUAUUUUUAGUAGAGACAGGGUUUCACCAUGUUGACCAGGAUGGUCUCGAUCUCUUGACCUCGUGAUCCACCCGCCUCGGCCUCCCAAAGUACUGGGAUUACAGGUGUGAGCCACCGCGCCCGGCCUCCUGCCUCCUUUUUAAUCGAUUAGUCUCCUAAGUCUCCAUUCACAGUCCCCACAGGCACUGUGAACAGUGCACCACUAUUCUUUUUUACAUGAUGAGAAAACAGGCUCAGAAGGUUUGGACUGUUGUCUCUCUCCAAGCCUGAGUUUUUUCCUUAGCAGAGAGUAGUGAAGUGCUGAUAACAGAAGGCAACAGCAACCAAGAAAUUGCAUCUCACCCCCAAAUGUUAUCUACCACUGACUCUGAAAUAUACACAGCAUUUUUGUUUUGUUUUGUUUUCUGGUUUGAGUCAUAUACACCUUUUACAAAUAGUUGACAAUGAGUCAGCAUUACUAAGAAAGAAAGAGACAUUCUGAAGUCAGAUAGACAUGACUAUAAAGAAAUCCCAGCUUGACUACUAAGCAGCUGCAACUGAUCAUCUCUGGGCCAGUUACGAUUGUCUCGGCCUCAGUGUUACCACUGAAAUGGGAAUGAUCCUCCUGGCUCAGGGAGUUGAGUGAUUAAAUAAAAUCAUGAAUGUGAACUCAGAGCACAAUGUUGGGCAUCCUGAAAACACUUGGUAGGUGAGCAAGGUCAUUAUGAUUGUUCAUUGCCACUCUCACACCCUCCCAACUUUCUCACAAGCUGUCCCCUGGUGCCAACCUUCUCAGGGAGAGACAGAGGAAGGGUAUAAUACAACACAUGUGCCCAGGGUGGGAAAAUGUAAUGCAAGAAAAGGAGACAAAUCUCUGGUGUUGCGUGUACUAGUCAUUUUGUAGUUGUGAGUGGAAAAUUAGAGAUGACUGAAGGAAGCUCUAAAUACAUGCCCUAGACAGGCAUUGCUCAUCUUCCUAGUACCUGGGGCUUCUGACAAACGCAUUACGUCUCAGUUUUUCAGAUAGGACACAUGGUCUAAAGGGAGGGUGAUAAUAAGAACAUUCAUCAUCUACAAGUUAGCCAGGCAGAGGCCAGGCAGACACACAUAGAGUCCUUGUUCCUCUGCAAAAUGAACUGAGACAUAAGAAAAGCUACAUCACCUGCUGGCUAUGAGAUCUUGGAUGUAUAGUCUCCAGCUGCAAAACCCUAAUGUUUAUUCUGAACUGAAGAUAUCUGCUGCUAGAUUCAACAGCUGAAGAUUACCCAUAAAGGAAUAUAAACAUGAAGAAUAGCCGGCAAAUUUAAUUUCAAUUAAAUUCAACAAUGCUGUAUUAGUCUUCUAGGCUCUGAGUAUAUGCUAAGCCCUUGAGAAUUGAAGGAGAAUAAAAAUGAUGAUGAUGGCUGUAGUGUAUAGUACUCUUGUUUAGAGAGGCAUAUUAUGAGGCACUUAAGAACAAAUCUUGGAGAUAGACCUUCUGGCUUCAAAUCCACCUCCAUCAUGUAUUAAUAGUUUUAACAUCACCCCAGUUGCUCUACUGUGAUGUGGCUGUAAAAAAAAAAAAAAAAACAGUGAUAAAUGGGCCUCAAUAAAGCAAUAAGUAUAAAGUUGUUAGAACAACUCCUAGCAUACAGAAAGUAAGAUUAGAUGUUAGAUAUUUUUAUCACUGAACUUAAAGCUGAAUAGAAUCUUAAACUAAUCAUUGUAAACUAAUCCAGCCCACUAAUUUCACAGAAUGUUGAGGCCCAGAAAAGCAAUGGGAAAAAUUAAUUUCAACUGAACUACUAAAAUGAUGUAAGACCUCAGAAAUAUUACAUGGUACAGAAAAAGAUAUUUGUGAUCUUAAAAUAGGAAGUCAUUUUUUAGGCAAGAGUCACAAAAUUUAAAAGGAAGAAAUUAACUUUACUGCAAUAAAAUUUGCAAUUAGAGAGUUAAGGCUUUGAGCUGUGUGAUAUCAGCCUACAUCUAGCCUAAAAUGAUGGAGGGAUAGAGAUUUGAGUUCAGUGUUUCAUCCAAUGAUUCAAUCAAUCAUGCCUACAUAAUGAAACCCUAAUAAAAACUCUGAACACUGAAGCACUUAUGUGCUUCCCUGGUUAAACUAACCUUAAGCAUGUUCUUACACAUUAAGUAUCACAUCCUGACUCAAUGGUGAGAACACAUGUAAGCUUUUCAUUCAAGACUCUCCCAGAUCUUGACCUAUGUAGCUUUUUACUGGUCUUGAUUUGUACCCUUUUUUGCUAUAAUAAAACUGUAACCAUACAUAUAGUACUUUCUUGAGUGCUAUAAGUCAUUCUAAUGAAUUAUUGAACCUGAAGGAGUAAGGGGAAACCCAAAAUUUGUAGUCAGCUAGUUAGAAGCAUGUCUAGCCUGAGGUCCUUGGGUGUGCAGCUAGUGUGUGAAUGAGGGCAAUUUUGGUGAGGACUGUGCUCCUUACCUGUGACGUCUGACCUAACUCCAGGUAGUUAGUGUUAGAAUUGUACUGCAAUAGCAAUCAGAGAAAUGGAAAUGAAAAUAGGGUGAGAAAUGAUUUUAUGCCCAGCAUCUUGUCAAUCCUCAAAAAGCUUGGAUAACAACAACAAUGAUGAAGCUAAACAGGAACUCUGAUCAGGGGGUGGAAGUGAAUAUUGGCAUAAAUUGUUUGAACAGAAUCUUACUCGAAUUCCCACCAGAAUCAAACUCUGAGACAAGGACUGAUAAAAUGAAAGGAUAAGUCCUAUAGCUGAUGAAUCCCAAAAUAAGAAUUCUACCCAUGUCACUGAAUUCCAAAUCCAUUGUUUUCUGCCACAAUUGAUAGCCUUCCAAGGCUGAUGAAAUACACAUUUUUAGCAAAACCUUCAACUAACUAUGCUUUUUAUAUUACAGAACAUUUCUUAUCCAUUAGCUUAUUUAAUUUUUAUAACACUUAAGAAAGUUAAAUAUGAUAACAUAAAAAGGUUCAGUACAUUAUAGGGUGAUUCUGAAAGUUGAACUUGUUCUCAAGGAUCUAAACAUGAACAGAAAUGUUAUAAAAGCAGAGCUUUUAUGGAACACAUCUCAGAAGAUGGUCAGAUUAAAGACACGGAAUUGCCACAAGCCUCAGUUUUGUCACCUGUGAAAUAAGAAUAAGUAUGUGCCAUCUCAUUCAGAGAAUUGUUGAUAUGACCAUUACCUAAGUGCCAACUCCAAGACUCACCUCAGUACCCAUGUGCUUAUUCAUUUAUGCAUUCAUUGCACCAUCUUGAAAUCCUGUGACAAGGCAAUCGGCACCUGUGCUACAUGUCAUGGCUCAAAACUGCAAAGUCCACAGAAGCUCUUAGUCUAAAAGGAAAAACAGGCUUAUAAAAUACCAUGAAAAUCAUGCAAGUAGAGAAUGGUGAAGAAUAGACAGAGAAAGGGGAUAGUCAGAAAAGAAAAGUCAGCCUUAAAUGUUGGGAAGCGAUUUUAAAAGCAUGAUGUAGGAUAAGAGUCUCACCAGGGGGGAGUUUUCCAAGAUGGCAUGGUAGGAACAACUAAGGAUUGCAGCUCUCAUUGAAGGUGCAGAGGGUGAAUCUUAGCCGCAUUUCCAGAUGGAUCUUUGUUGCCCACAGAACAGGGAAAUUACCAAGUGUAGGAGAGUCACGGGAAGCCAGCGCAGCCCUCUCGGC
Long non-coding RNA from Callithrix jacchus (white-tufted-ear marmoset), 5718 nucleotides. NCBI's taxonomy places the organism in Eukaryota, Metazoa, Chordata, Mammalia, Primates, Cebidae. The record is from Ensembl.